This 292-nucleotide ribosomal RNA is filed under the name uncultured prokaryote. RNAcentral's name for it is "partial 16S ribosomal RNA". It matches the Rfam family "Bacterial small subunit ribosomal RNA", at positions 505 to 796 of the family's 1533-position model. The record is from RNAcentral.
GUGCCAGCAGCCGCGGUAAUACGGAGGGUGCAAGCGUUAAUCGGAAUUACUGGGCGUAAAGCGCACGCAGGCGGUCUGUCAAGUCGGAUGUGAAAUCCCCGGGCUCAACCUGGGAACUGCAUUCGAAACUGGCAGGCUAGAGUCUUGUAGAGGGGGGUAGAAUUCCAGGUGUAGCGGUGAAAUGCGUAGAGAUCUGGAGGAAUACCGGUGGCGAAGGCAGCCCCCUGGGCCAAUACUGACGCUCAUGCACGAAAGCGUGGGGAGCAAACAGGAUUAGAUACCCGCGUAGUCC